UACGGAGGGUGCAAGCGUUAAUCGGAAUCACUGGGCGUAAAGCGCGCGUAGGCGGCUUGAUAAGUCAGAUGUGAAAGCCCCGGGCUUAACCUGGGAAUUGCAUUUGAUACUGUCGAGCUAGAGUAUGGUAGAGGGGGGUGGAAUUCCAGGUGUAGCGGUGAAAUGCGUAGAUAUCUGGAGGAACAUCAGUGGCGAAGGCGACCCCCUGGACCAAUACUGACGCUGAGGUGCGAAAGCGUGGGGAGCAAACAGG
Molecule: ribosomal RNA, 253 nt
Filed under: uncultured bacterium
Lineage: Bacteria
Description: partial 16S ribosomal RNA
Rfam family: Bacterial small subunit ribosomal RNA
Source: RNAcentral